GACGAACGCUGGCGGCGUGCUUAACACAUGCAAGUCGAACGGAAAGGCCCUGCUUUUGUGGGGUGCUCGAGUGGCGAACGGGUGAGUAACACGUGAGUAACCUGCCCUUGACUUUGGGAUAACUUCAGGAAACUGGGGCUAAUACCGGAGAGGAGCUCCUGCUGCAUGGGGGGGGUUGGAAAGUUUCGGCGGUUGGGGAUGGACUCGCGGCUUAUCAGCUUGUUGGUGGGGUAGGUGCUUACCAAGGCUUUGACGGGUAGCCGGCCUGAGAGGGUGACCGGCCACAUUGGGACUGAGAUACGGCCCAGACUCCUACGGGAGGCAGCAGUGGGGAAUCUUGCACAAUGGCCGGAAGCCUGAUGCAGAAACGCCGCGUGCGGGAUGCCGGCUUUCGGGUUGUAAACCGCUUUCGCCUGUGACGAAGCGUGAGUGACGGUAAUGGGUAAAGAAGCACCGGCUAACUACGUG
Molecule: ribosomal RNA, 468 nt
Filed under: uncultured bacterium
Lineage: Bacteria
Description: partial 16S ribosomal RNA
Rfam family: Bacterial small subunit ribosomal RNA
Source: RNAcentral